GUUAGGCAUGUUGGUACACACCUGUAGUCCCAGCUACUCAGGAAACUGAGGCAGGGGGAUCACUUGAGCCCAGGAGUUUGAGGGUGCAGUGAGCUAGGAUCGUGCCACUGCACUCCAGCCUGGGCAAAAGAGUGAGACUCUGUAUCUA
This 148-nucleotide non-coding RNA is filed under the name Homo sapiens (human). Lineage: Eukaryota; Metazoa; Chordata; Mammalia; Primates; Hominidae. The record is from Rfam by way of RNAcentral.